Molecule: unclassified non-coding RNA, 5575 nt
Filed under: Leishmania donovani
Lineage: Eukaryota; Euglenozoa; Kinetoplastea; Trypanosomatida; Trypanosomatidae
Description: gene:LdHU3.36.1410(CDS-product:hypothetical_prote in_conserved)
Source: RNAcentral
CGAUUCCAAGCAGUACACUCCCCCUCCUCCUCCACCCCUCCGCACUCCUCAUUGACGUUUUCUUGCCCCUCCGUACCGCCGUCAGAGGCGUCGAGGGCUGGAGGUGGCGGCGCACAGAUACGGGAGCGUGUAUCUCUUCUAAGAGCCCCCUGUCGGGCACCUCCAACCGACGCCAUCAGGUUGAACCGUUUAGCUGGAAUAUAUACUUACAUAUAUACAUGUGGAAGAAGGAAAAGGCAGCGCCGUGGCACAGUGGAGCUUUGUGAUGAUGGUCCGAAGAAGACAUGUGGCGCAGCCGCGCCGCGGCUGGCUGGGCAUUCUUCUUAUUUUCUCCAUCCUACUCGUGUCAGCGGAGGGGGUACGCUUGGAGACGGGAACCUUCUUAAUGGACGAAGAUGUCGAGUGGCCGUGGCUGCCGCAGCUCGACUUACCACUGCCACCUGACUUCAUGUCUGGGCAGCGCAUCCUCAGCACGCCUGAGCAAUGGAUGGUGCUCGCUCACGUGGGAGCUCCGUUCCGCGUUGUCACGGACACCAAAAUGGAUCUUAUGCGCCUCUUGGAGGUCGUUAAGUUCAUGCUCCCCGCCGACGCUGGCGUCUGCCCGCGCUACAGUACAACGCGCCGCAUCGUGCACUACUGGUUUCACCCAGAGCAGUUGAGCCUGCUCUUUGGUGAGGAGCGCUGGUCCGCCCUGCAGCGGUUACAGCGACCAGCCGCCUGGUCUCUGGUGCUCAAGGACGAUGCAGGCCCUGCUGUCCGGGCAGCAGAGCGUUUCAUUGCCAAGCUGCAGGCUCUGGACCCACCGGGGCAGAUCACUCUCAUUUCCCGCCGCCAGAGCUCGAGUUUGAGGACGACGCGUGUCUCACUUGCCGACUUCAAGGUGCUGAGCCGCCUCACUCGCAUGACCAACACUAUCGAGUAUCGGCUAACGCACCUGACGGUGGAUGCCGAGGCGCCGCUGCACCGCAUGCAAAUACAGCGUCUGCUGCGUGCAAAACUGCGGUAUCACGAGCAUAUCAAGGCCUUUGACGAGGCCGUCGCGGAGGCUCAGCGCGAUCUGCACGUGAGUCUGCAAGAACUACUGAAAAGCGAGCAGGCGGCGUAUGCAGAUCACGUGCACUUCAAGCGGAGCUACCAGCGCUUUCUUGUGGAGCGCCAAUCGCGCCUCCGAGCAGAGAAAGGGGUGAAGGAUGCCGCCGACGGAUCCGAUGGGGAGUCGUCUAUGGGUCGCGACGCCGGAUCGCGCCGGACUGCAGCAACGAGCAUUCAUCGUGCCGCGGGUACUUCCCUCCCAUCACCGCUUGAUGGCAGCCGAGAUGUGUCGUGCAGGAAGGUGCUCGCUGCCUGGAGCACGCUCCGCGCAGCCGGCGUCUGUCACGAAGCGGAAAUACGUGUGGCGCAGCUGCGUCGUCUCCAUUCUCGGCAUCGGUGCAAGGAGCCUCUGCCGGAGCUGCUGGUGGCCUCCUCUACUGUCCGCGGAGAGGCGGGCCUGAGCCCGGCGGCCGCGCACGUAUGGCGUGACGGUGUUGCAGAAAUGAAGGCGCAGCGGCGCAAGUCAGGUGCGUCACCGACGCCUGCGCAGGUGUUCGCCAUCCUCUACGGUGUCUGGGAGGAAGCGAAGGCGGCCACACAAGCGGCUGGUCACGCCCGAGAAGCGACAUCUGCAGCCGGCGUGGUGACAACUGCGGUGGCGGUGAAUGAGGCCUUCAAUGCGUCCGCCUUCGCCGCAUUUGUGGAGCACCUAGUGCAAAGCGGCGACGCGCUCAGCGCCGCGCCCAACAGCCGCCUGCCACGAUGGAUACGCGCGGAGCUCCACUACACGUUGGCCCUUUUACAGCUCAUAAGGCCGAAAACCCGGCCUUCGGAGAAGCAUCCUGCCACGGUGUCCUCGAGUGUGCGCGCUGUGGUGCACUUGCACGAGUCGUUGAGUGCCGGGUCCCACCACGCUGCCGGCGCCUUGGCGACGCUCCGGGAACACGGUAUAUUUGCCAGGCAGCAGAGUAAGGCGGCCAUGAUGCUGCUGCUACAAUCAAUGGAACAAGCACCGACGCACCUGUGGCGCGAGCUGCUUCUGCGCCGCUCUCCUUGUCGUUCUCACGAAGCAGCGAGGGCAGCAUCAGCGAGAGCUGACCCGUCGCGACUCCUCCGCUUCGAGCAGUUCUACGCCGUGGACCACACCUUCAGCGAGGUGGAUGACCCUUUCAUGACCCGCCAGAGCAUCGCGACACUCAUCGCCGUGACAAGCGAGAACAUCCACACCGGCGACGAGGAGCCGGAGAUGGAGGACGUCUACCGCGAGGCGGAGGUCGGACGCGGCGACGACGAAUACGAGGGGCGUUUGACGGCGCGGCUAAAUCGACGCCUUCUGAAGGCGAGCAUGCUGUUCUCCGGAUUCAAGGGGGUGCAGCGAGACGCGCGAGAGGCACAGUGCGAGCUCCUCGUCAUCCUGCGUCGUCUCGGCUACGUCUGCGAUCUUGAUCUUCGUCGCUUCUAUACUAGUGGCGUGCCGUCACAUGUGCCCGAUUCGCCGCCUGCUUCCUCGGCGGCGCCAAUGACCAUCAUCGGCGUUCCUCUGCCGGACUCCUGUGCCGAACAUGAGACUGAGCUGGUCGACGUCAUGAGCAACAGCCGGCACACGCUUUUGAGUUGCCCGAACGGAGUUCCUUUUCCACCACGGCGAUCUCGGCGUCAGCUCGACGUGCCCAACUCGGAAGCUCUGUUUGAGUUGCUCCUGCAGACGCUGCUGGCCCUCAGUUACGUGCAACUCAUCCACAGACAUCGGUACGAUAUGAGCCACCUGUACGCCUCUCUCGCCCUCGAGAUGUCCCUGCGCGUGCCACGUGCGACAGUGGAACGCUGUGCUCAAGCAGCAAACAUGAGUGCCUUCGUUGAGGCGCACCACCACCCGGGCGACAGCAACGGAUCGUGGGCCCGCUCGUUUCUGGAGGCGGUGAACCGCGUCGCAGACAGCGACAGCGAAGUUGCGUGGGCUGCCGAGGUACUGCUGGAUCAGCUGCAGAGCAUCAAAAAUGCGCCGUCGCAGGCGCGCGGCGACGGCGCAGCAUUGGGGCACAGAGUUCAGCGGGUGCUUCGUCGCUUUGCGAGCGUGGCGGACUCUCCGUUCGUCUCGACCGAAUCCCUGCUCCUCAUAGGGACGAGCCGAUGGGCGGCGAGGGGCCCAUUGUCCGGUGCGGCGGCAGAGGUGGCGGCGUUCGAGAAGGACUUGGCCGAAUGGACAAUGGAACCAUUCAGUCUGUUUCAUCGACUCCUGCAGAAGCGUCCGAGGAGCUCCAGUGCGGCGGCGACGCAACAGACACCGCACCCAUCUCACAGUGGCGCAGCGCCGGGGUCUUCAAUGGGCGUGAGUCUAAGCACCACGGUCAUGGAUGUCCACGCCCUCUUUCUGGUCUGCUUGGCAGCGAUGAAGCGAUGGAGGAGCGACUUCCCUCUUGUACACACGCUGGACGCGACGACCUACUCGGCUCGACGCACCGAUCCGUUUGUGCUAAGCUCCUUUCUCCUGCGAGCGCGCGACACCGCCACCGGCGCACCCCUCAUUUCCAUCGAGAAGCUGCGCGACGUCGCGUAUGCCGCCUCCCCGCACUUUCUGGGGGAAAGUCCGCAAUUGCUGCCGCUCGUUGACGACACGGUCGACUCGUAUGCGGCGCGGCUGCUGCGCUUCGCUGCCCGGCACAUUCACGCCCUAGAGCCGUGCGUCGAACUGCUCCGAAGCGGUGGCUACGGCGUUCGUCGCACCGACGCCGGCGGGGCCGCCUCAGCUGGGAUGAGGAUGAGUGGCCACUGGGGCAGCUCUCUUGAUGAUGGCCCACCGCGAAAGUCGCGCCUGCAAACCUUGCGUAAAGUAAAACAGCACACGAUGGAGAACGCGGAUCUGCAGCCGCUGCUCUACGCCGCGGACGUGCACGAUUACAUGAACAAGUCGCGCUGGACAAGCGUUGCGACGGUGCUGAGCGCCGUGUACAAAACUGUUCUAUACCCCUUCACGACGACUGCGGCAGAGGCGCUGAUUGCGGACAUGGAGGCGCAAAUGCAGCUCGUGACACCAGAGGAGCACGGCGCUGAGCUCAGCAGCCGACGUAAAGCGGGCACGGAAGAGUCGCCAUCGCAGGAGACGGCGAAGGGGACCGCAAGGUCGGCAGGGACGGGGGUCUCCGCGUUCGUGGACGCCUUCGCGAAGGACGCCGCGCUGCGCGAGUUCUUCAUUGCCGGGCAGCUGCUCACCGUCGCGUUGGAGUCUGGCAUGCCGGAGGGAUUCUCGCUUGUUCUCCUUGAAGCCGCGGACCGCGGCAACCGAUAUCUCCGCCCCAUCGCAGAGCACUUGGCGGAGUCUGUGUUUGGCCGCAUGGCGCCGAGCGUGUGGACGGAGCACCAUCUCACCGCGCAGUGGCAGCGGGAGGAGGAGGAGCUUGUGGGUGAGGGCCCACUCUUUGUGCUGGACACGCGCACACCCUUUCGCUACGCGUCUGUCGAAGCUCGCCAGGAGCUCUUUGCGCGUGUGAGUCGGUGGAAUGCAGCGAAGGCGCAGCAGGGCGACAUUGGCGAAGUCUAUGGGGCGAGAGAGCGUCAGAGGACUCGAGUGUCGCAGGCGCUCGACCAGUUGCUGUGGUGCGCCGGUUUCCUCACGCGGCGUGUCUACAGAGACACCCAUCGCGUGUACCCGUAUGCCUACGAGGGGUCUGUUUUUCCCGCAUCUGAUCUGGAGUGCGUCGCGGACAUGAAUCGUCUGUUAAGGUCUCAGAGACCUGCCGCCGAAACGGCGGCAUCGGUGGUGACGGAAAGGGAGCCGGCGUGGACUUUGGCCGAGUGGCGACACGCACAGAAAAACGGCACGGCUCUUCUCCGCGACUUGAGCGAGCGGUUGGGCUACGUCUACGACACUGUCGAGGGGGCGCCGGCGCGCCGUUUUCCGCUUUCCGCGGCAGACUUCAGCCGAAAUGUGACGGUGGAGGAGCACGCUCUGCUCUUGGCAGAGCGGAACCAGGACUACCCCUCUCGCUUUGCGCGUGUGUCGACGCAGUUGGUGGAGCCGUGGAACCGCCUGUCGAAGGACUACAGCGAGCAAGUCGUGGCGUACGGGGAAGGCUUCUACUACAACCAGCGCUUGCACCGCAUCAGCGGGUACCGCUGGGGUGCUAUCCUGCACAUAUGGUGGCUGCGUGUGCGCAACAUGUGGCCAUGGUAGUCGAAUUCGCCGAGAGUGGCGAGGAUACGGAGGAGAGAAUGUGGUGCGCAUCCCGGCUAGGACUGAGUGGCAGUGAUGUCUUGCUCUGCUCACGAAGGCUAUCAACACAACGACAAGCAAAACAACGCCAUCAGAUACUGGAUUUUUUGCCCCUAUCGGUCUCUUACAGAGAAGCACACCAUGGUGUGAGGUACGUGUUCGCCAGCUCACCGUUCGCUCGGCCUGACUCGAACACGGAUAUCCCCCAUGGACACAGCCACGCGCGCUUGCCUACCGUGUGGGGACAAUGGCGAGAGAAACAAGGGGACAGUCGUGCACAACAUGUCGAUCCUCUCCCCCCUCCCCCACCUUUGCAACAAUGUUACUUCAACC